Molecule: ribosomal RNA, 497 nt
Filed under: uncultured bacterium
Lineage: Bacteria
Description: partial 16S ribosomal RNA
Rfam family: Bacterial small subunit ribosomal RNA
Source: RNAcentral
GAUGAACGCUGGCGGCGUGCCUAAUACAUGCAAGUCGAGCGAACGGACGAGAAGCUUGCUCCUCUGAUGUUAGCGGCGGACGGGUGAGUAACACGUGGAUAACCUACCUAUAAGACUGGGAUAACUUCGGGAAACCGUAGCUAAUACCGGAUAAUAUUUUGAACCGCAUGGUUCAAAAGUGAAAGACGGUCUUGCUGUCACUUAUAGAUGGAUCCGCGCUGCAUUAGCUAGUUGGUAAGGUAACGGCUUACCAAGGCAACGAUGCAUAGCCGACCUGAGAGGGUGAUCGGCCACACUGGAACUGAGACACGGUCCAGACUCCUACGGGAGGCAGCAGUAGGGAAUCUUCCGCAAUGGGCGAAAGCCUGACGGAGCAACGCCGCGUGAGUGAUGAAGGUCUUCGGAUCGUAAAACUCUGUUAUUAGGGAAGAACAUAUGCGUAAGUAACUGUGCACAUCUUGACGGUUCCUAAUCAGAAAGCCACGGCUAACUACGUG